UCGUUUUUAGCAUGUAGUCUCUCUCUCUAAAAAUAAACAUUUAGACGAUCACAACUCCAUACGUGGUUGUUUUGAAAGGAUUGUUUUGAAAGGAAAUAAUUUGAACCCAUUUUGGUUAUAUAUCACAGGCGAGCAGGCGAGAAACCGGAACUUUGAUCCAAGUUUUAUGCGUAAGUGAAUUUAUUUUUCUGAAAAACAUAGUCUGC
Molecule: long non-coding RNA, 206 nt
Filed under: Amborella trichopoda
Lineage: Eukaryota; Viridiplantae; Streptophyta; Magnoliopsida; Amborellales; Amborellaceae
Description: long non-coding RNA (ATRI_LNC002700)
Source: RNAcentral